GGGGGUGCCUUUGGCUUCGACGGGAAUAACGGAGAUUUAAACUGCAAGUCGGAUGUCUAACGAUAAUAGACAAAUUAAAUAUAGCUGGAAACAACUAUAACAACGCUCUUGCUUUUGCUUAAAAUUUAAGUAAACAAGAGGUCUAUCUAUUUCUUUGCUUGUGAGAAAUAACAUAGACUUAUAAAGCAAGCUAUAUUAUAGAUAAAGUUUAUAAUCUAUAACGAAUAAUAUAAACUAGAAAAUAUUUUAAUUUGUUAGUUAAUUAUAAUAUUUUCGAAAUCUAUCUAACUAACUAAACUUGUAGAAGUUUUUAUUAAAGGAUUUUCGGACAGGGGUUCGACUCCCCUCACCUCCACCA
RNAcentral lists this transfer-messenger RNA (358 nucleotides) under Bacilli. Its description in RNAcentral is "HGM10818 sp905211265 Standard tmRNA". It matches the Rfam family "transfer-messenger RNA". From Rfam's summary of the family: Bacterial tmRNA, also known as 10Sa RNA or SsrA, is named for its dual tRNA and mRNA-like properties. Its role is to liberate the mRNA from a stalled ribosome. Lineage: Bacteria; Bacillati; Bacillota. RNAcentral also lists the same sequence under 1 other name. The record is from RNAcentral.